Molecule: long non-coding RNA, 203 nt
Filed under: Piliocolobus tephrosceles (Ugandan red Colobus)
Lineage: Eukaryota; Metazoa; Chordata; Mammalia; Primates; Cercopithecidae
Description: lncRNA (ENSPTEG00000007041.1)
Source: RNAcentral
GGCGGGCACAGGGUUUCUGAAGAGGUAGACCGGUGGGCGGUUUCGUCGGGUGUCUACCUCCAGGGGUCGUUCGUGAGCCAGAGAAACCCGGACUUAGGAAGGAAGGGGCCUGGCCACACCCCUUCCGCUCUUGGCUGUGCAGUGCCCUGGUUCCCGGCGCGUUCUCUGUCGUGAGCCAAGCAAGGAAGGUGGUCUUGAAGUGA